UCCAUUUCAGUAAAAUUGAUUCAAAUUUCCCCAAAUUAUCACCACUAAUUAUCAGUUAAUCAUCAGAUUUAAUAUCUAAUUCAGACAUUAUGCUAAUUAAACAUGCUGAUUCAAAAAGGAAAUUGAAAGAGGGGCUAGGUUACAAACUUGUGAUAAUCACGUCCUUCUUCUCCAUCCUUCUCAGCGAACACGACGGCGCGGCACCGGUGAUUUCUUCAUCAUCUCCUUCUCCGAUCAGAAAGUCAAACCAUCGUUGCCAACAAAAGCCUCAGCGUCCAUUUCUCAUCGAUUCAUCUCACCAAAUCUCAACUCAGUUCGCAAUCUCUCUCGGUCUCUUGUCUAUCGUGUUCGCCUUGGAUUCGAAUUUCCCCGAUCAAAAGAAACUUUCCGAUUUAUCAUCACGAUGGACAAGAAACGGAAGAACAGGAACGCUUCUCAACCAAAGAUAGCGUCCGUAGCGUCUUCAUAGAUGAGUAAACGAAGAAAUCUAGAGAUUAUCUGAAACAAACGGAUCUAUCCUUUACAGAGAACCGAUGAAGAUGAAGAUUGGUUGGAGAUUGAGCGAUGAUGAUUAUUGCUGUGAGAGAAGGUUGAAGAUUUAAGGUAAUGAACGGUUAUGGCGAAGAGUUCUGUGAUUUGCAGAAAGUGAUGAAGAGAUGAUUGUUGAAGGUUAUCGAGGUCGAAGAAGAAUAGAGAAGGUUUUACGAUUCGGUUAUGGUGAUUCCGAUGGAAAAGAGAGAGAGAAUUCGGGAAGAAACUUGAGAGAGAGGUCCUCGAGUUUGUUACCAAGUAGUGAUGAAUGAAGAGCAAUGGUGAAGUUUUCUGUCAUGAGGUGAAGAUUGAAAAUGGAGGUUUUCUGAACUCAGAGGUUUUGGAUGGCUCAAAUUGAUUGAAAGUCUUGCCAAAAAAACGUGGAGCUGCCGGUGUUGAAGACUUGAAAGCAUUCCCUGAAAACUUAGUCUUAGUGCAAAUAUGUAUGGGGUUUUUCCUGUGCAAAUUUGUGUAAUUUGUGGAUGGACUUGAAUGUUGUAAUUGUAAACUUGGACUUUUGUAACUUUUGUGAAGGAUUUGUGGAUUUGAGUAUUUUUGUAAUGAAAUUUGAUAUGGUUUGAA
Vicia villosa (hairy vetch) is the source of this 1113-nucleotide long non-coding RNA. RefSeq lists it as uncharacterized. NCBI's taxonomy places the organism in Eukaryota, Viridiplantae, Streptophyta, Magnoliopsida, Fabales, Fabaceae. The transcript is spliced from 4 exons. The record is from RefSeq and is a predicted model, not a curated record.